Molecule: ribosomal RNA, 371 nt
Filed under: Woloszynskia sp.
Lineage: Eukaryota; Dinophyceae; Gymnodiniales; Tovelliaceae
Description: partial small subunit ribosomal RNA
Rfam family: Eukaryotic small subunit ribosomal RNA
Source: RNAcentral
AUUCCAGCUCCAAUAGCGUAUAUUAAAGUUGUUGCGGUUAAAAAGCUCGUAGUUGGAUUUCUGCUGAGGAUGACCGGUCCGCCCUGUGGGUGUGCAUCUGGCUCAGCCUUGGCAUCUUCCUGAAGAACGUAGCUGCACUUGACUGUGUGGUGCGGUAUUUAGGACAUUUACUUUGAGGAAAUUAGAGUGUUUCAAGCAAGCGCACGCUUUGAAUACAUUAGCAUGGAAUAAUAAGAUAGGACCUCGGUUCUAUUUUGUUGGUUUCUAGAGCUGAGGUAAUGAUUGAUAGGGAUAGUUGGGGGCAUUCGUAUUUAACUGUCAGAGGUGAAGUUCUUGGAUUUGUUAAAGACGGACUAAGGAUGUUUUCAUUG